GAUGAACGCUGGCGGCGUGCCUAAUACAUGCAAGUCGAGCGAACAGACGAGGAGCUUGCUCCUCUGACGUUAGCGGCGGACGGGUGAGUAACACGUGGAUAACCUACCUAUAAGACUGGGAUAACUUCGGGAAACCGGAGCUAAUACCGGAUAAUAUAUUGAACCGCAUGGUUCAAUAGUGAAAGACGGUUUUGCUGUCACUUAUAGAUGGAUCCGCGCCGCAUUAGCUAGUUGGUAAGGUAACGGCUUACCAAGGCAACGAUGCGUAGCCGACCUGAGAGGGUGAUCGGCCACACUGGAAAUGAGACACGGUCCAGACUCCUACGGGAGGCAGCAGGAGGGAAUCUUCCGCAAUGGGCGAAAGCCUGACGGAGCAACGCCGCGUGAGUGAUGAAGGUCUUCGGAUCGUAAAACUCUGUUAUUAGGGAAGAACAAAUGUGUAAGUAACUAUGCACGUCUUGACGGUACCUAAUCAGAAAGCCACGGCUAACUAC
This 494-nucleotide ribosomal RNA is filed under the name uncultured bacterium. RNAcentral describes it as "partial 16S ribosomal RNA". It matches the Rfam family "Bacterial small subunit ribosomal RNA", at positions 28 to 504 of the family's 1533-position model. The record is from RNAcentral.